This 2426-nucleotide long non-coding RNA is filed under the name Sparus aurata (gilthead seabream). RNAcentral's name for it is "lncRNA (ENSSAUG00010008510.1)". Lineage: Eukaryota; Metazoa; Chordata; Actinopteri; Spariformes; Sparidae. The record is from RNAcentral.
AUGCGGGGCUUCUUGGGUGUCACUGCCCAUGUCCUGACUACAAACAAAGGGCUGUGUCUAAAGUCCUACUUGCUGGCCUGCAGUAGGUUUCAAGGAUCACAUACAGGAGAGAGGAUCGCUGAGGCGUUUGAAGCUAUCUGUGAUGAAUAUGACAUCAGACACAAAUUGGACUGUGUGCUCUGUGACAAUGCAGCGAACAUGAAAAAGGCCUUCUCCAUCUGCUUCCCACAAGAGGAAGAAGACCAAGUAGAUGAUGAAGAGAGCCUGGACGACCCAAAUAUAUGGGAAGCUCUAUCUGCGAACGACCAAGAAACUGUUGAUCAGGCACUAACCAGAGGAAGCUACAAACGCCUACAGUGCUUUGCUCAUACCUUACAGUUGGCUAUAGGAGAUGGCCUUAAGGAAGCUAAGGUUGCAAGAAGUGCCAUGGCAAAAUGCUGCAAACUCAGUUCUCUUCUGCACUCAUCUACCUCCUUCCGAGAUGCAUUUGAAAAUAAGUUUGGCGAGAAAGGGAUCCCUGCUGCUGUGAACACACGAUGGGGUUCAACCAACGUCAACUGAAAGCAGUGCUCUCGUUUGACCAGCAGGAACUGAGCGAUGUUAUGCAGGACACAGGUUAGUGCUUGUCUGUUACUGCUGUUAUCUGAUCACAGGGUCACAUUCUAUUUCUGUGUCAUCAAACACACAGGGCUUGUUGGAGCAUCCUGACCAGCUUUAGAAUAAUAUAUGCUUUAUCUCCCUCUCUCUUUCCAUAUCUUUCUUUCUCUCUGUCUCUCUCUCUCUCUAGGUCACCAGGAGCUGAUCUUCUCUGCGAGAGAGUGGAAUCAGCUGAAAGAACUGUGUGAUAUCCUCAAGUCCUUUUCAGAAGCCACUGAUCUCACACAGGGUGAGAAGUCUGUGACUAUCAGCGCCGUUCUUCCUAGUGUGUUGUCCCUAAACAACCACCUGGAGAAACUCAAGCAGAAGGUUGGUUAUUGUUACACACACACACACACACACACACACACACUCUAAUUUAUUUAUUUGUUCAGGUUCAGUUACUGGGAGGCGUGGUCAGGUGCCUUCAGAUCUCCCUCAAAACAAGAUUCCGUGGGAUCCUGGUCAAUGUGAAAAUGGAAACUGCAGCGCCAGACGAACCACAGCCUCUACCUUUUGCAGACCCCCUGUAUAUUAGAGCAGCUGUCCUGGACCCAGAAUACUCUAUAAUGUGGCUGAAACAAGACGUCCUUGUCAACGAUGAUGUCAAGAGGGAGGUGUCUGACAUGGUGAAAGGUCAGUGAAUGUACAUAAUGUGCUUGAAUACACACCACAAGUAUGGCACUGUAUAAAUAUACGCACACCACUUAUUCUCUUCUCAAACAAACUUAGUUCACAGUGUUAUUGUCUGUGUCGGUGAUCAAAUUAUGAUCACAAAACUAGAAAUAUCAGUUAAAUGUAAAGAAUAUUUCAUGCUAUAUUAAGUGAUAAUUUGUUGUCCAUUAGAACUGAUCCUACGGGAGGUGCCAGCUGACCAGACACCUGAGACUCCAGAGGGAGAGGAGGAGCUGUUGGAGGAGGAAGGGGUUGGGCUCUACGCAGGAUACAAGAAGCGCCGCAAGCGGGACACAAUGACACCAGAAGCUCAGCUGAACAACUACCUUAGCCUUGAUACUGAUCAGACUUGUCUCACAUUUUGGGAGGCAAAUAAAAACUCCCUCCCUGCACUUUAUAAGAUUGCCAUUAGAGCACUUGCAGUGCCCGCAACUAGUGCGCCAGUCGAGAGAGUCUUUAGCCACGGUGGCAUCAUUUUGAGACCACAUCAUUCUCGCAUGAAGGGCGGCACCCUCUCAAACCUUGUGUUUCUCAAGUGCAACAAUCUGUGAAUGUACUGUAUGUAACAGAGCCACUACUUGACUCUGUAACAUAGAGGGUUAGGUUGCACAAAUAAUUUUACUUUGGAAAGGUUGAAUUUACCCAGCUCUUAUUUCUUUUAUAACGCUUAUCUUUAAAAUAUGUUGAUAUCUCUUUAGAAUUUUCUGACAAAAUAAUACUCAUAGUGGAGUGACUGUCAGUCCAUGCAAACAUCUUGACAAAAGAUGAAUCCCUUAAAUGGAUGGUCCUUUAUUUUAAGUUAUGUUUAUAUUUAAGCUCCUGCUCUGUGCUGUUUAGUUUACAUUGCACUUUGUUUGCACUGAUCAUAAUUUUGUUUGCCUUUGUAAAGGUAGCUACCUCGAAUGUAAAACAAAAAGAUUGCAAUUUAAAUGUUGCAAAUGUACCAAAUAAACAUUUUUUUUGUGUCAAACAUGCCAUUUCUUUAAUGGAAUGUAGCCUAGCCUUUGCCAUCUACCUAGGUCUAAAUGAUCAAACAUGUAAUGGAUAAAUGUAUAGCUUUUAAGCUUUAUGCUGGUGUAAUCCAUGCAGAGUUGCAGACUAAUCUGCAUGGUAUU